Homo sapiens (human) is the source of this 379-nucleotide long non-coding RNA. The record is from Ensembl. NCBI's taxonomy places the organism in Eukaryota, Metazoa, Chordata, Mammalia, Primates, Hominidae.
CCUGUGCUGGGAGAGGGUCACUGGGCUGAGAUUGGUAGGUGGCUCUGGGAGCUGAGGGCCUAAACCUAUGACCACAAGGAACUGAAUUCAUCCCAAAGCCAGAGAGGUGGAAGACGACUCAGAAGAUGCAGAUGCCAAUGCCACAUCCUGGUAAAGGUUCUCGGAAGGACCCAAUGAGACUGGGCUCACUGGGAUAAUCCAGGAUCAUCUCCCAUCUCAAGGUUCUUCAUCGCAUACUUGCAAAGCCCCUUUUGCCAUGUCAGGUAACUUGUUCACAGGUUUGAAGAUUAGAAUGUGGGCAUGUUUGGGGGGCAUAAUUAGGCCUAGCACAAUGCCCAUGUACCCAUCUCCUUGCUUAAACAUUAAACACUUUGCCAAU